GAAUGAUGUGGCAUCUCUGGAACAUACCAAGUUCCAAGAAGGAUCUGAGUGUGAGUGUGCCAGUGGGGGGACUUCCCAACUUGGUGAGGGAAUGCCCCCCUCUGACUCUGGCCUUCCCUCAGACCCCUGCUCAGUAUGCGCUGAUGGAGAAAGAUGCCCUCCAAGUGGCCCAGGAGAUGAAGGCUGAGUACUGGGCAGUCUCGUCUCUCACUGGUGAGAAUGUCCGAGAAUUCUUCUUCCGUGUGGCAGCACUGACCUUUGAGGCCAAUGUGCUGGCUGAGCUGGAGAAAUCGGGGGCUCGACGCAUUGGGGAUGUUGUCCGCAUCAACAGUGAUGACAGCAACCUCUACCUAACUGCCAGCAAGAAGAAGCCCACAUGUUGCCCAUGAGGGCUGAGGAGACUGUUCAGAGACUGCCCAGCCCUAGGGCACUGUGCCACCCUCAUUCCUCCAGAACUUGACCCCUGGACAUUUGCACUGACUUUAUCCAGACCAAAGAGCUGCCUCUUGGUGGCAGUAUUCCCACAGAGGGGUAGCUGGGACCAUGCUAGUCACUUCCUGCCCCCAGGCACCUUGCCAAAGACUGGAUGCCCCCUACUCGUCAGGGGACUGUCCAGGGUGCCCAGUGGUAGUGGGGGAGAGUGUCUCUGUUCUUUUGCUCAGCCUGCUGGGCCCUUUGUGUAUGAGGAUGCUUAAUGAAUCCAGCCUCUCACUGUGCCUUAUGCAUUAAAAUUUCUUUGUUACGA
Molecule: small RNA, 745 nt
Filed under: Pongo abelii (Sumatran orangutan)
Lineage: Eukaryota; Metazoa; Chordata; Mammalia; Primates; Hominidae
Description: retained intron
Source: RNAcentral